This 466-nucleotide ribosomal RNA is filed under the name uncultured bacterium. Its description in RNAcentral is "bacterial SSU rRNA". It matches the Rfam family "Bacterial small subunit ribosomal RNA", at positions 330 to 793 of the family's 1533-position model. The record is from RNAcentral.
UCCAGACUCCUACGGGAGGCAGCAGUGAGGAAUAUUGGUCAAUGGGCGAGAGCCUGAACCAGCCAAGUCGCGUGAGGGAAGACGGUCCUAUGGAUUGUAAACCUCUUUUGUCGGGGAGCAAAAAGGCCUCGUGAGGCCACAAGUGAGAGUACCCGAAGAAAAAGCAUCGGCUAACUCCGUGCCAGCAGCCGCGGUAAUACGGAGGAUGCGAGCGUUAUUCGGAUUUAUUGGGUUUAAAGGGUGCGCAGGCGGCGAGUUAAGUCAGCGGUAAAAUUUCGGGGCUCAACCCCAACAAGCCGUUGAAACUGGCUUGCUAGAGUGGGCGAGAAGUAUGCGGAAUGCGUGGUGUAGCGGUGAAAUGCAUAGAUAUCACGCAGAACUCCGAUUGCGAAGGCAGCAUACCGGCGCCCAACUGACGCUCAGGCACGAAAGCGUGGGUAUCGAACAGGAUUAGAUACCCCCGUAG